Molecule: ribosomal RNA, 466 nt
Filed under: uncultured bacterium
Lineage: Bacteria
Description: partial 16S ribosomal RNA
Rfam family: Bacterial small subunit ribosomal RNA
Source: RNAcentral
GAUGAACGCUGGCGGCGUGCUUAACACAUGCAAGUCGAACGAUGAAGCCCAGCUUGCUGGGUGGAUUAGUGGCGAACGGGUGUGUAACACGUGAGUAACCUGCCCUUAACCCUGGGAUAAGCCUGGGAAACUGGGUCUAAUACCGGAUAGGAGCGUCCACCGCAUUGAGGGUGUUGGAAAGAUUUAUCGGUUUUGGAUGGACUCGCGGCCUAUCAGCUUGUUGGUGAGGUAAUGGCUCACCAAGGCGACGCCGGGUAGCCGGCCUGAGAGGGUGACCGGCCACACUGGGACUGAGACACGGCCCAGACUCCUACGGGAGGCAGCAGUGGGGAAUAUUGCACAAUGGGCGAAAGCCUGAUGCAGCGACGCCGCGUGAGGGAUGACGGCCUUCGGGUUGUAAACCUCUUUCAGUAGGGAAGAAGCGAAAGUGACGGUACCUGAAGAAGAAGCACCGGCUAACUACGUG